UACGGGGGGAGCAAGCGUUGUUCGGAUUUACUGGGCGUAAAGAGCUUGUAGGCGGUUUGUCGCGUCUGCUGUGAAAUUUCGGGGCUCAACCCCGAACUUGCAGUGGGUACGGGCAGACUAGAGUGUGGUAGGGGAGACUGGAAUUCCUGGUGUAGCGGUGAAAUGCGCAGAUAUCAGGAGGAACACCGAUGGCGAAGGCAGGUCUCUGGGCCAUAACUGACGCUGAGAAGCGAAAGCAUGGGGAGCGAACAGG
RNAcentral lists this ribosomal RNA (253 nucleotides) under uncultured bacterium. RNAcentral's name for it is "partial 16S ribosomal RNA". It matches the Rfam family "Bacterial small subunit ribosomal RNA", at positions 524 to 776 of the family's 1533-position model. The record is from RNAcentral.